UAAAAUGAGUGUGUGAGUGUGUUCGGUUCGUGUGGGAUCUCUCCGGUUUCUGAGGGUUUGGUCUGGUCUCACUCUUUGGUUUCGCUUUCGCCUCUUCCUUGUUUCUCUAACUGCUCCUGCGCGUCGCCGUCGGUUUAGGUUCUGGCGUAACGAGCGAGCGGGCGGCGGCACGCCGACGCUGCGAGGAGGCCCCUGGGGCGCGGUAAGAGGACGGCCGGUAGAGACCACGACGCGGCACCAGGGCUCCAGGGGUGGCUGCGACCCUGGUCGCGGGCGCCGACCACCGCUCGGGGUGACUACCGGCGAACGGCGCGCGGCCGCCGGUUGCCUCGUUCACAACCGCAAGGACAACGCCGUCUCGUCUCCCUGCCGCCCCAGGCGCGCUCCGUCCGGCCCGCGCGGCCGAGAGCGACGCGGAUCCCUCCGUCGUCGCAGGAACGAGCAGAAAAGCAGCGGGAGAGAGGGGGGCAGCUUCUUCGAUCCCAAACGAGCAAUCCCAAGGCAACCCGACACCCCGACGCCCCUACCGCCACCCCCUCCGCGACGCCGCCGAGACGCUCCUCCAGCCCACCAGAAUGCGGCAGAAGACCUUCCGGUAGCCGCGACGACUGGGGCACGUAGAUCACACCCUCCUACCGAUGACACCGGUGCGUAGAACAGGUUGACCUAGACUCCGAAGACUCCAACCGACACUUAGUCCACCGUGACACACGCGGGAUCAAUCCUUCCAAUACCGUAGCGUCCAAGUAUAACAACCUCUUCCAUGGUAGCCGGCACGACGAAAAUGACCCUCAGUAGUCACCUAAUAGGUACUAUGAUGGUUACUAGUGUCCGAGUCUAGGCUCCAACGACGCCUCUACUUAGUAGUCAAGUCUCGACCGUAAGUCUGAUAACGUUAUUAAGGACACAAUGGUGCACCACAUGAUGUCGAUCCGAGAUGAUCACACCAAUACCUUUUAUGUUGAAUACACGAAGUCAUAUUCUUCGACACAAGAGUCAAUUUGUUAGCUAGUUCAUACCAACGUAGAUGAAGUCGAUUUUUACUAAGAUCGGUCUUCCAGGUUAGUGCGAGAAGUGUACCAGAAGACUCACAGAUGGGAUGUCUACCAACGAGUUUUCGGAAGUCACCAAGAGGUCGCUGAAUACUUGUCACGAUAUAAGGACUACGCUGUCGUCAGAGUUCAUCACGUAGUCAUUUGUAUCCUUCUUUUCGAAGGAACGAAUUCCACCGUGUCUCUUUACCACUUCGAUAGUCUCUGGUGUCAAAUAUACGAGGACUACACUCCAAGUCUGCUGUUUGAGGAAUGACACUGUCCUCUCAACUUUCGUGGUGUGUUUCGUCACACCAAUUGAGUCUAAAAGAGAGAAGAUGGAGUUGUAGUCGUCUUUUCGUAGGUGACAACUACUUACUACCUGUUAACCCUUACCCUUUGUACCUUCUCCGCAGACUAUGGUCUUUAGAAGACGAUUUUAGAGAACGUAAGGCCUUGGACGGAGGUAGCGUACCUCCCCCACUCCACAAUCUAAAAGAUUUGUCAGUACCUUUGAAACUAAAAGAAGGACUUCCAUUAUCGUAUCAGUUCAGAUUGAACAUACUGACGAGUCGUUCAGUUGAUAAUCUGGUUUCUACAUUGAGAUGAAGACCCUACUAUCCCGUGUUUGGCCGAUAAAGUAUAUUUUGGGGGGUUAGACGAGUUAAGUAAUACUUUUACCCCUCAGGGUUUUCUCUGAGUACAGUACGACAACGUCGAGGUAGGUGACCGAGACUUCAAGUUUGAAGAUCACUUAAAUUUUGUCUGAAAAGAGUUCUAUUAGUUCACCUAUAAAGCCUAGCACAAACGGUUUUGUCUUUCCGAUUUCUUCAUUUACUGAGGUCAAAACGACAUUCUUAUGUUCCAAACUUCUUAUACCUAGCCGUCUUCGAGGGUCUGUAAAGUUCACUCGCUAGAAGGAGUGAAGCACACCUAGGUUGACGUCCUUUACUAAACAAACUAUAUAAACCACGACUUAAAGGAGUAGACACGGCGUUACACCUACCGCUGAGCUGGACCUUGUGACGUUUUGGUCGAUCGAGUCCUUUUCUACGUGAACUUAGGAGUCAAAUAGAGCUAUGGAGAGGUCAGAAACCACGUGACCUUCUACUCAAGGGGAAAAGACCUUAGAAGAGUGAUUGACUAUCACUGGUUAAUAACCUGCGUCAAUAGAGGUCACAGUUAGGACCACCGUUCGUCUAGAGACCACUGUCACGCAGAACGUCCUGAAGUAACUGUCUGUACGGAUCGUCGAGAAUAACACCGAGUUUUCACUACUUCGUUGUACUUAGUAGACCACGAGGAGGAAACGAUCAGUUCCUACUCAACCGACAUAGUUUAAAACAAUUUGUUGGUUCAAAGGAUCUCUUCUGGCUCCUAACAACAGAAAGGGUUUUGUUACCUUACGUGUUUAGAGUCAAUGCGGAAACCUAGCUCUCACCUGUAUUGUACUUCACACUUUCGCACAGUCGGAGUUUGUCGUUUCCAGUACUAUGUGGUUUGUUCCGUUUAGCUUUCUCUAGAGCUGGUCCUCUCUCAAGAUUCGGGGCCGGUUUUCUGGCAGUCGAAUAAGUCCUAGCAUAUUUCCUCGAGGCCCUUGAACAUGGAUUACCACGUUUCACAUCGUAACUACGAAAUGACCUUUUCUGGUAGUUCGUGUACCAAAAGAACGUCUCACACUGUUUCGUACGACUGUUAGAGUUUCUAAGAUUACUUAGAUUCUAUGAAUCGCCACUGUUACCAGGAGAAACCUUUCUGAUGAAACUCCCACCACGUUGUACCCGGAAGUUGCAGCCGUCGGUUAGAUACUGUACGGGUUAGUAUCAACUCCUAGAGCUGGCCGGAGCAGUCUACGAACACCUCUACUAAACACUACUGUCUCCAUAGAAGGACCUUUAUCGGCUGAAAUAGUUUCCAGAACCUGAUUGGUAGAACUCCCCACACUACCUUCGUGCGUUUUUAUUUUAGACCCGUGCUAAGUGACAACUCCGGUUGUCCCUGCACUGAUCUUACCUCUAAAAGGAGAGUGAACACGCGAACAACCUUGGGUCAACACUACCGUCACCUAGUCCUCUCUUAGUUCUUUUACCUUUUUACGGAGAACCCUAACGCGUCGUGGUCUAAUAGGGUCGCUGUCCGGUGGAAUCUACUCACUAGCUCGUACCCGUGGUAGUUCCGUGGAAAGUUCUCGAUUCUCGUCCCCAAGUCGAGCGAAGACGUUACUGAUCGCAACAGUCGAGUGCUGAUCGACCAAAGAACACUGCAUGGUGCCUAGAAAGAGUGUUGGCCCGCACGUCUUUAGGAUUGUGUCAUCUUGGUACUUCCGUAGCUGUUAACCAAAUUGUUUUACUAGUGAUCCUUCACAAACCUAACAUUUUAGAAACAAGGACAAAACAAUGACUACAAAGAAGAUAAUCGCUCAAAACAAGACAACUAGAUGACUUACUGUUAAGAUCCAACUAGACAGAUCGUACUCAAAAUGAUAACGGUUUAGUGCUCCGAAACAAAAGUU
RNAcentral lists this ribosomal RNA (3543 nucleotides) under Triticum aestivum (bread wheat). Its description in RNAcentral is "partial small subunit ribosomal RNA". Lineage: Eukaryota; Viridiplantae; Streptophyta; Magnoliopsida; Poales; Poaceae. The record is from RNAcentral.